This 776-nucleotide ribosomal RNA is filed under the name uncultured Neocallimastigales. RNAcentral's name for it is "partial large subunit ribosomal RNA". It matches the Rfam family "Eukaryotic large subunit ribosomal RNA", at positions 23 to 638 of the family's 3401-position model. The record is from RNAcentral. Lineage: Eukaryota; Fungi; Neocallimastigomycota; Neocallimastigomycetes; Neocallimastigales.
GAGACUCUGUGCGCGUGCAUAUCAAUAAGCGGAGGAAAAGAAACUAACAAGGAUUCCCCUAGUAACGGCGAGUGAAGCGGGAAGAGCUCAAAUUUGAAAUCUUAAAGGGUUUCCCUUUACGAAUUGUAGUUUAAAGAAGUGUUUUCUGUUGGAGUUUCGGUAAAAGUUCUUUGGAAUAGGACAUCAUAGAGGGUGAGAAUCCCGUAUUUGACCGUUACUUUCCAGCUGUGUGAUACACUUUCAAAGAGUCGGAUUGUUUGGGAAUGCAGUCCAAAAUGGGUGGUAAAUUUCAUCUAAAGCUAAAUAUUGGCGAGAGACCGAUAGCGAACAAGUACCGUGAGGGAAAGAUGAAAAGAACUUUGAAAAGAGAGUUAAACAGUACGUGAAAUUGUCAAAAGGGAAGCGUUUGACACCAGUGUUGUUUAGUUGAAAAUCAAUUCAAUAAUUUUUGAUUCUAAGUAGUAUUGACUUCAUCAGCUUGCUGCUUUCUUCUCAGAAAUUAUUGAAUGCACUUUUCAGUUAACAAGUCAACAUCAAUUUCUUUUGUUGUAAAAGGGUAAGAGGAAGGUGGCUUGCGCUUCGGCUCAAGUGUUUAUAGCCUUUUAGUCUCUGCAAUCGGAGAGAUUGAGGUCUGCAGCGUAGAUCCUUCGGGGUUAGAUACAUUGGUGCUAAGCUAUAGCCUUGUAUAGACAACUUGUUGACUAUGCUCAGUCAUGUAGCUUACUCGCUGAUGCUAUUUUACCUACGCUUAGGAUGUUGACAGCAGUAUAGACUGU